GGUGAUGCUCCUUCUGCCCCACCUCACCCCCAAGCUUGGUUCAUCACAAAGGUUAAGCAUGGGCAUUUUCCCGCUGGGAAAGUGAGCCAGAUUUAUACAGUGUCUCAGCCGAGCAUCCAGGAGUGAACCUGUAGAUUCAGUGCUAGAGGUCACUAUCAUGUCCUUCCUCCCUCCUGUUCCUUCGUGAUUGUACCAAAAUGAACUGGUUGCCCACUUGGUUCUUGCUGGGCACAGCAGGUUCACAUCUCUCCAUGCAUUUAGAGAAGAGCUGUUUGAGAGCUUUUAGGGAAGUGUGGGAAAGUCUCAUGGAACAGUUCCAGCAUCACAGAGAAACUUCUCCACAGUUAAUGCUUCUCUCUUUCCUACUUUCACAGCCAUGCGAGACCAGGC
Myotis brandtii (Brandt's bat) is the source of this 390-nucleotide long non-coding RNA. RefSeq lists it as uncharacterized. The record is from RefSeq and is a predicted model, not a curated record. The transcript is spliced from 3 exons. Lineage: Eukaryota; Metazoa; Chordata; Mammalia; Chiroptera; Vespertilionidae.